GCACAGAACCUUACCAGCCUUUGACAUCCUAGGACGAUUUCCGGAGACGGAUCUCUUCCCUUCGGGGACCUAGUGACAGGUGCUGCAUGGCUGUCGUCAGCUCGUGUCGUGAGAUGUUGGGUUAAGUCCCGCAACGAGCGCAACCCUCGUCCUUAGUUGCCAUCAUUUAGUUGGGCACUUUAAGGAAACUGCCGGUGAUAAGCCGGAGGAAGGUGGGGAUGACGUCAAGUCCUCAUGGCCCUUACAGGCUGGGCUACACACGUGCUACAAUGGCAUCUACAGUGAGCAGCGAUCCCGCGAGGGUUAGCUAAUCUCCAAAAGAUGUCUCAGUUCGGAUUGUUCUCUGCAACUCGAGAGCAUGAAGGCGGAAUCGUUAGUAAUCGCGGAUCAGCAUGCCGCGGUGAAUACGUUCCCAGGCCUUGUACACACCGCCCGUCACACCAUGGGAGUUGGAUUCACCCGAAGGCGGUGCGCUAAC
Molecule: ribosomal RNA, 478 nt
Filed under: uncultured Erythrobacteraceae bacterium
Lineage: Bacteria; Pseudomonadati; Pseudomonadota; Alphaproteobacteria; Sphingomonadales; Erythrobacteraceae
Description: bacterial SSU rRNA
Rfam family: Bacterial small subunit ribosomal RNA
Source: RNAcentral